GUUGGGAUAAGAAGUUACCCUUUGCUGGUGCAGAUUGGUGGGGAGUGUUUUAUGUGGACAUAGCUGGGUUCGAGGCGUGGACAUACUCAAGGAUGGCUCUAUGUUUUAUGUCUACUGGAAAUUGUAAAAUGCUGGUACGUUGGGAACAUCCAUAUACAGAUGACGGGACAAUUUCUUCAGGAGGUUUUUGCAAGCUAAAGUUGUGAAAAGCAGUCGUUUGAAACUCAUUAAGUGA
Molecule: long non-coding RNA, 235 nt
Filed under: Helianthus annuus (common sunflower)
Lineage: Eukaryota; Viridiplantae; Streptophyta; Magnoliopsida; Asterales; Asteraceae
Description: sRNA HanXRQr2_Chr11g0507901
Source: RNAcentral